CAGGAAGUAUGGAUAGCACAGUGAAUAAAUAGAGCCAGCAUCUAUAAACACCUUGCCCGGCUAACCAGAGCACAUGGCACAAUCGCAAGCUGUGUGAAUGCCGUUGACGUCCCUCUCUGGAUGGAUAUAACCCAUUUUAGCAUGGAUAAUGACAUUGAAGGCUUCCACCAUUUUAAAGUAGUCAACUGGGUGGGGAUUCCUAACAGCCAAUGUUCAGAGCGAAUGUCUUCUUUUUCAUAUAGAGUGCUAUUGUUUUUAAAUGGCUUUAUGUUAUAUGACCGCCAUCUAGUGGCCACACUAAGUGAAUGACACACUAGAUUCGGUUCAAGACCCCAGCACGGCAGGGGGCGGGACAUCACCAAUAUUAGCUUUACACGAAGAAGAAAAUGGACGUCUUUACAAUGGAGACUUCCCUCAAUGGCGCUGGCCAUGCUGUCCCAGAAGCCAUUAUGACACCGAUACAAAGGUGUGACUGGAUGGUGUCAGAGUCGGCGAGGUGUUCUGAGAACAACAACUUCAGGACCAGCUGAUGGGAAUAAAAGAUCUGGGACUACGUCCAACACGGUGACGACAAACUCCUGCACCAAGCCGUAGUCCAUGACGUCUCUCCGCUGAACAACCUGCCAUAGAG
Molecule: long non-coding RNA, 631 nt
Organism: Oncorhynchus masou masou (cherry salmon)
Lineage: Eukaryota; Metazoa; Chordata; Actinopteri; Salmoniformes; Salmonidae
Exons: 3
Source: RefSeq, a predicted model, not a curated record